GAUGAACGCUGGCGGCGUGCCUAAUACAUGCAAGUCGAGCGAACAGACGAGGAGCUUGCUCCUCUGACGUUAGCGGCGGACGGGUGAGUAACACGUGGAUAACCUACCUAUAAGACUGGGAUAACUUCGGGAAACCGGAGCUAAUACCGGAUAAUAUAUUGAACCGCAUGGUUCAAUAGUGAAAGACGGUUUUGCUGUCACUUAUAGAUGGAUCCGCGCCGCAUUAGCUAGUUGGUAAGGUAACGGCUUACCAAGGCAACGAUGCGUAGCCGACCUGAGAGGGGGAGCGGCCACACGGGACCUGAGCCCCGGCCCAGCCCCCGAGGGGGGGCACCAGUAGGGAUCCUUCCGCAAGGGGGGAAGGCCGGACGGAGAAGCGCGGGGGGAGGAAGAAAGUUUUUCGGACCUAAAACCUUUUUUAUGAGGGAAAAAAAAUUGUUAAAGAAACUAUGCCCGCUUGGACGUUACUAAACAAGAAACCCACGACAAACUCGGUC
This 497-nucleotide ribosomal RNA is filed under the name uncultured bacterium. Its description in RNAcentral is "partial 16S ribosomal RNA". It matches the Rfam family "Bacterial small subunit ribosomal RNA", at positions 28 to 507 of the family's 1533-position model. The record is from RNAcentral.